AUUACAAAACUACGAUCUGCGGACUAGCCUACCUGCAGAGACAGUGUCUGGCCCUAGCUUGCUUGCGACCGGCGCACGGGUGCGUAACGCGCUGCAAUCUGCCUUGCGCGGGGGAAUACCCCAGAAAAAUUGGGAUUAUUCCCCCUUGGAUUUUUGGUGGGGCAUCACGCUAUUAUUAGACACUUAUCGGUGCAGGAUGCGCUUGCGUACCAUUAGUUAGGUGGGGAGGUAGCGGCUUACCAAGACGAUGAUGGGUAGGGGUCCUGAGAGGGAGAUCCCCCUGCUACUGCUGACACACGGACCUCACUCCUACGGCAGGCAUGGGGAGGAAUAUUGGUGGUGGGCGCAUGCCUGAACCAUCCCUGCCGCGUGCAGGAUGACUGCCCUAUGGGUUGUGCUCUGCUUUUAUACGGAAAGAAACCCCUCCAUACGUGGAGGAUUGACCGGACCCGAAGAAAUAGGAUCCGCUUACUCCCUGCCCGCAGCCCCGGGUAUACCGAGGAUCCAAGCGUUAUCCGGAAUCGUUGGGGCUAAAGGGUCCGUAGGCGGCCCUGUUAAGACGGGGGGAAAUCUCCCGGCUCCCCGGGAAACUGCCAUUGAUACUGCAGGUCUUGAAUGUUUGGGAAAUAACUAUGAUAUUCAGCGUGGCGCAGAAAUGCUUAGAUAUUACAUGAAGAACCGAUUGCGAGAGCAGGUUCCUAACAAACUGUUGUCACUGAUAUGACUAAAGCGUGGGGGAGAAAACAGGAUUAGAUACCCUGGUAGUCCCCGGCCUAAACCAAUGACACUAGCUGGCUGACUGUCUUGUUCCUCGGCUAAACAAAAGUGAUGAGUAUCUCACCUCCUGAGUACGGCCGCCGCGAUGAUAAAAUCUGAAUCGACGGCAGGGAUGGACG
RNAcentral lists this ribosomal RNA (896 nucleotides) under uncultured bacterium. Its description in RNAcentral is "bacterial SSU rRNA". It matches the Rfam family "Bacterial small subunit ribosomal RNA", at positions 79 to 927 of the family's 1533-position model. The record is from RNAcentral.